UAGCUCAGUCAGUUGAGCAUGGCGCUAACAAUGCCAAGGUCGUGGGUUCGAUUCCCGU
RNAcentral lists this transfer RNA (58 nucleotides) under Apaloderma vittatum (bar-tailed trogon). It matches the Rfam family "tRNA", at positions 8 to 63 of the family's 71-position model. From Rfam's summary of the family: Transfer RNA (tRNA) molecules are approximately 80 nucleotides in length. Lineage: Eukaryota; Metazoa; Chordata; Aves; Trogoniformes; Trogonidae. The record is from Rfam by way of RNAcentral.